Molecule: ribosomal RNA, 253 nt
Filed under: uncultured bacterium
Lineage: Bacteria
Description: partial 16S ribosomal RNA
Rfam family: Bacterial small subunit ribosomal RNA
Source: RNAcentral
UACGUAGGGACCGAGCGUUGUCCGGAAUCAUUGGGCGUAAAGAGCGUGUAGGCGGCCCGUUAAGUCCUGCGUGAAAUCUUGCGGCUCGACCGCAAGCGGUCGUGGGAAACUGGGUGGCUAGAGUGCGGGAGAGGAGAGUGGAAUUCCUGGUGUAGCGGUGGAAUGCGCAGAUAUCAGGAAGAACACCCGUGGCGAAGGCGGCUCGCUGGAACGCAACUGACGCUGAGACGCGAAAGCGUGGGGAGCAAACAGG